Molecule: ribosomal RNA, 465 nt
Filed under: uncultured bacterium
Lineage: Bacteria
Description: partial 16S ribosomal RNA
Rfam family: Bacterial small subunit ribosomal RNA
Source: RNAcentral
CCUACGGGAGGCAGCAGUAGGGAAUCUUCCACAAUGGACGAAAGUCUGAUGGAGCAACGCCGCGUGAGUGAAGAAGGGUUUCGGCUCGUAAAGCUCUGUUGGUAGUGAAGAAAGAUAGAGGUAGUAACUGGCCUUUAUUUGACGGUAAUUACUUAGAAAGUGACGGCUAACUACGUGCCAGCAGCUGCGGUAAUACGUAGGUGGCAAGCGUUGUCCGGAUUUAGUGGGCGUAACGCGAGUGCAGGCGGUUCAAUAAGUCUGAUGGGAAAGCCUUCGGCUCAACCGGAGAAUUGCAUCAGAAACUGUUGAACUUGAGUGCAGAAGAGGAGAGUGGAACUCCAUGUGUAGCGGUGUAAUGCGUAGAUAUAUGGAAGAACACCGGUGGCGAAGGCGGCUCUCUGGUCUGCAACUGACGCUGAGGCUCGAAAGCAUGGGUAGCGAACAGGAUUAGAUACCCCAGUAGUC